CCUACGGGUGGCAGCAGUGGGGGAUAUUGCACAAUGGGGGGAACCCUGAUGCAGCGACGCCGCGUGGGUGAAGAAGCGUCUCGGCGCGUAAAGCCCUGUUAGCAGGGAAGAAAAUGACGGUAGCUAAAGAAUAAGCCCCGGCUAACUACGUGCCAGCAGCCGCGGUAAUACGUAGGGGGCAAGCGUUACCCGGAUUCACUGGGCGUAAAGGGCGCGCAGGCGGGAUAGCAAGUCAGGUGUGAAAGCCUAGGGCGUAACCCCGGGACUGCUCUUGAAACUGCGUGGCUGGAGUAUGGGAGGGGCAGGCGGAAUUCCUGGUGUAGGGGUAAAAUGCGUAGAGAUCAGGAGGAAUACUGAUGGCGAAGGCGACCUGCUAGAACACAACUGACGUUGAGGCGCGAAAGCGUGGGGAGCAAACAGGAUCAGAUACCCUUGUAGUC
RNAcentral lists this ribosomal RNA (440 nucleotides) under uncultured bacterium. RNAcentral's name for it is "partial 16S ribosomal RNA". It matches the Rfam family "Bacterial small subunit ribosomal RNA", at positions 338 to 795 of the family's 1533-position model. The record is from RNAcentral.